Molecule: long non-coding RNA, 730 nt
Organism: Leopardus geoffroyi (Geoffroy's cat)
Lineage: Eukaryota; Metazoa; Chordata; Mammalia; Carnivora; Felidae
Exons: 4
Source: RefSeq, a predicted model, not a curated record
CCUCUGCUUAUGGACGAAUUUAGCCCCCCCCCCCCCAGUUGGCUCUGCUCUGGGGUCUCCACCUUUCCUCCAGGCCUGCUUCCCCAGGGGCUGGGAGUGGGGGGCAGCGUGUGCUGAGGCGCCGGCCCUGGAGAAGCCAGGAGAAGCUUGGAGAAGUUCGGAGACGUGCCCUUGAGCUGCUGCCUGGACCUUGGAGGGCACCCGCCGCCGCCGCCGAGGCCCAGGCCCUGCUCUGAGCUCUGGAGGGACGCAGCCGGCACAGCCCCAGCUGGAAGUGAGGGACCAGGGACCCAGCGGGCCCACCCGGAACCACCAGGACCCGACAGCACGAGAGCUACCCAGGGCACAAGACACCACAGGCCACAGAUCAAUAAACCAAAAGCCGAAAAGAGCUCCCUUCCAAGGACGGCUGUGGAGCCCAGAUGGCAAGGGGCUUGCUGCACCCACACCUGAGCCACCAAGGGACAGUCAGGCACCAGGAGCAGACCCCCUGACUCACAGAUGCCUGUGGUGUGGCUCUGAAUACACCCCGGCUUCCCUGGGCCUGAGGGGAGAGGGGCUCCAUGAACUGAAGGAAACAAGGCCCUGGCACAGACCCUGGCACUUGGAGGGCUGAACCCGUGGACACCUCUGCACAGCCCUGGGGGUCUGAAGACACUCACCUCUGUGGGGCUGGGGCUGGCCACAGGCCUCAGUUCUGAGCGCGAGGGGACCGCCUGGGCCACAGGCC